UUCACCCAGCUGCCUGCAAUCCGGGCGUAGCCCAGUAGUGCCCUUGGCCGGGUCAUUUCAUUGUCGGGGUGAAGGAAACAAUGCGUAAGCUGGAGCUGGGUGUCCCUGCGGUUUGGUGCUGUGAACAGAGGACCCCAAACUGCUCUGCUCUCCUGGAAGCCACAGUCAAGAGAACCCAGGAUCUCACAAGCCAGCAAAAAUACAGGUGUGUAUUUCUGUUGUCCUCACCUCUUGGGAUACCACCUCCAAUUUCCACCCAGUUCGGCAGCAUGGAUCUUCAAGGACCAGUGCAGGUCUCUAAGAAUCUGAAUCAGAAUGGUGGUUUAUAACCACUGUACUCUGCUGUCACUGCUCAGUCCGCGAGUCAUCGCUAUAGGGUAUCACCCCAAAUUUCGCCUCCGGGGACCUGGACUACAGGUGAGCCAAUCGACUGGACUGGACUGAACUGGACUGGACUGGACACACCACAGUUCCGCA
Molecule: long non-coding RNA, 477 nt
Organism: Tupaia belangeri chinensis (Chinese tree shrew)
Lineage: Eukaryota; Metazoa; Chordata; Mammalia; Scandentia; Tupaiidae
Exons: 4
Source: RefSeq, a predicted model, not a curated record